GCUGCUUUGAUUUUGUUGCCCAAUCUACUGAGAUGGAUACAUUGUUGACAGCCUGCUACAGGGCCUCAAAGGCCAAGAUGUCUGGUAUAAGUGGACAUUGCUGCUCAAAUAAAACGUCUCGUAAUGGCGGACGGAGGGAGUACAAAUCCUGUAGCAUUGUAAUUAAACAUACGCAAACAGGCAUCGAAGCAAAACAACGCGACAAAUCUCCGUUUUACUUACACGCGACACGGGAGUGAAUGAUCAUCAAUGUACAAUUACAGCUAGCAGGCAACUGCUCGAGAACGGCCUUUCUGUCUGAAUCGAUUUUUUUUCUUUCCUUUUUACAUGGAACCUUUCUUACGCAUGCUGGAUAUGGGGAGUCGUGCGAGUCGAUAAAAUAGAACUGUAUGGUUAAGAAAUCCGACGUAUGCGAUGACCUCAUUUAAGCUAAGUACAAUCCCUCCUCUUGUGUUUUUUGCAUGUGCUUGGUCGAUCGUAUAUUGAACACAAAAAAACUGCAACGUGCAUGGACUCGGGUCAAAAACAAUUGCACAUAUAUGGACCGCACACCCAAUUAUAUGAGGACUAUAAGCAUGAUCCACAAGAGAUUAAUUAUAGCUCCAGUGACUAACUAUACAUUGGCACAAUUGAGUAAACUAAAAAAGUACUCUUAAUAUAACCACAACUG
Molecule: long non-coding RNA, 670 nt
Filed under: Brachypodium distachyon (stiff brome)
Lineage: Eukaryota; Viridiplantae; Streptophyta; Magnoliopsida; Poales; Poaceae
Description: long non-coding RNA (BDIS_LNC002486)
Source: RNAcentral